UACGAAAGGGGCUAGCGUUGUUCGGAAUUACUGGGCGUAAAGCGUACGUAGGCGGCUUGGUAAGUUGGGGGUGAAAUCCCAGGGCUCAACCCUGGAACUGCCUCCAAAACUGCUAGGCUAGAGGAUGCGAGAGGUUGGCGGAAUUCCGAGUGUAGAGGUGAAAUUCGUGGAUAUUCGGAAGAACACCAGUGGCGACGGCGGCCAACUGGCGCAUUUCUGACGCUGAGGUGCGAAAGCGUGGGGAGCAAACAGG
Molecule: ribosomal RNA, 253 nt
Filed under: uncultured bacterium
Lineage: Bacteria
Description: partial 16S ribosomal RNA
Rfam family: Bacterial small subunit ribosomal RNA
Source: RNAcentral